RNAcentral lists this ribosomal RNA (253 nucleotides) under uncultured bacterium. Its description in RNAcentral is "partial 16S ribosomal RNA". It matches the Rfam family "Bacterial small subunit ribosomal RNA", at positions 524 to 776 of the family's 1533-position model. The record is from RNAcentral.
UACGAAGGGGGCUAGCGUUGCUCGGAAUUACUGGGCGUAAAGGGCGCGUAGGCGGUUCUAUAAGUCAGGCGUGAAAUUCCUGGGCUUAACCUGGGGGCUGCGCUUGAGACUGUGGGACUUGAGGUCAGAAGAGGGUCGUGGAAUUCCCAGUGUAGAGGUGAAAUUCGUAGAUAUUGGGAAGAGCACCGGUGGCGAAGGCGGCGACCUGGUCUGAUACUGACGCUGAGGCGCGACAGCGUGGGGAGCAAACAGG